RNAcentral lists this ribosomal RNA (442 nucleotides) under uncultured prokaryote. Its description in RNAcentral is "bacterial SSU rRNA". It matches the Rfam family "Bacterial small subunit ribosomal RNA", at positions 355 to 796 of the family's 1533-position model. The record is from RNAcentral.
UGGGGAAUCUUGCGCAAUGGAGGAAACUCUGACGCAGCUACGCCGCGUGCAGGAAGACACCCCUACGGGGCGUAAACUGCUUUUCUGCGAGAAGAAGGUCCCGCCCUGCGGGAUUUGACGGUAUCGCAGGAAUAAGGACCGGCUAACUCCGUGCCAGCAGCCGCGGUAAUACGGAGGGUCCAAGCGUUGUCCGAAAUUACUGGGUGUAAAGGGUGUGCAGGCGGAGCAGAAAGUCAGAAGUGAAAGCCCGCGGCUUUACCGCGGAAGUGCUUUUGAUACUACUGUUCUUGAGUCCCGGAGAAGCUACCGGAAUUCGUGGUGUAGCGGUGAAAUGCGUAGAUAUCACGAGGAAUACCAGAAGCGUAGGCGGGUAGCUAGACGGUGACUGACGCUCAGGCACGAAAGCGUGGGGAGCAAACAGGAUUAGAUACCCCUGUAGUCC